CCUGAUCCAGCAAUGCCGCGUGAGUGAAGAAGGCCUUCGGGUUGUAAAGCUCUUUUGUCAGGGAAGAAACGGCCUGUUCUAAUACAGUGGGCUAAUGACGGUACCUGAAGAAUAAGCACCGGCUAACUACGUGCCAGCAGCCGCGGUAAUACGUAGGGUGCAAGCGUUAAUCGGAAUUACUGGGCGUAAAGCGUGCGCAGGCGGUUUUGUAAGUUUGUCGUGAAAUCCCCGGGCUCAACCUGGGAAUGGCGAUGAAGACUGCAAGGCUAGAGUUUGGCAGAGGGGGGUAGAAUUCCACGUGUAGCAGUGAAAUGCGUAGAUAUGUGGAGGAACACCGAUGGCGAAGGCAGCCCCCUGGGUCAAAACUGACGCUCAUGCACGAAAGCGUGGGGAGCAAACAGGAUUAGAUACCCUGGUAGUCCACGCCCUAAACGAUGUCUACUAGUUGUCGGGUCUUAAUUGACUUGGUAACGCAGCUAACGCGUGAAGUAGACCGCCUGGGGAGUACGGUCGCAAGAUUAAAACUCAAAGGAAUUGACGGGGACCCGCACAAGCGGUGGAUGAUGUGGAUUAAUUCGAUGCAACGCGAAAAACCUUACCUACCCUUGACAUGGCUGGAAUCCCCGAGAGAUUG
Molecule: ribosomal RNA, 634 nt
Filed under: Oxalobacteraceae bacterium Se2Ps_2385
Lineage: Bacteria; Pseudomonadati; Pseudomonadota; Betaproteobacteria; Burkholderiales; Oxalobacteraceae
Description: bacterial SSU rRNA
Rfam family: Bacterial small subunit ribosomal RNA
Source: RNAcentral